AGGUCACUGCUAUCGGUGUUCGAUUAAGCCAUGCGAGUCGUGAGGGGUAAAGCCCUCGGCGGAGUGCUCAGUAACACGUGGACAACCUACCCAAGAGUCAGGGAUAACCCCGGGAAACUGGGGAUAAUACCUGAUAGGCCAUGACAUCUGGAAUCGAGUUGUGGUUUAAACGUAAGGCUCUUGGAUGGGUCUGCGGCGGAUUAGGUUGUUGCCGGUGUAACGUACCAGCAAGCCUGUAAUCCGUACGGGUUGUGGGAGCAAGAGCCCGGAGAUGGAUUCUGAGACACGAAUCCAGGCCCUACGGGGCGCAGCAGGCGCGAAAACUCUACAAUGCAGGCAACUGCGAUAGGGGAACAUCGAGUGGCAUCCACCAUGGAUGUCUGUCCAAUCGUCUAAAAAACGAUUGUCAGCAAGGGCCGGGCAAGACCGGUGCCAGCCGCCGCGGUAAUACCGGCGGCUCGAGUGGUGGCCGAUAUUAUUGAGUCUAAAGGGUCCGUAGCCGGCUUUGCAAGUCCUAUGGGAAAUCCAGCGGCUUAACCGUUGGGCUUUCAUGGGAUACUACAUUGCUUGGGACUGGGAGAGGUAGGAGGUACUCAGGGGGUAGGGGUGAAAUCCUGUAAUCCUUUGGGGACCACCGGUGGCGAAGGCGUCCUACCAGAACAGGUCCGACGGUGAGGGACGAAAGCUAGGGGCACAAACCGGAUUAGAUACCCGGGUAGUCCUAGCCGUAAACGAUGCUCGCUAGGUGUCACGGCAGUCGUGAAUUGUCGUGGUGCCGUAGGGAAGCCGUGAAGCGAGCCACCUGGGAAGUACGACCGCAAGGUUGAAACUUAA
RNAcentral lists this ribosomal RNA (834 nucleotides) under uncultured archaeon. RNAcentral's name for it is "bacterial SSU rRNA". It matches the Rfam family "Archaeal small subunit ribosomal RNA", at positions 21 to 859 of the family's 1478-position model. The record is from RNAcentral.